GAUAACAAGGAUGUUCCCUUGCCCUCAAAUGUACAUAGUUCCAUCUGUAAUAAUGCUGUUACAACUGACAUGAAUUACAUUUGGCAUUUAAGACUUGCCCAUACUUCAAUUACAAAUAUGAGACACAUUUCUGGUUUGUCUUUUCCAUUUGAUUCUAAACAACCUUUCCCCUAUUCUGUCUGUCCUAUGACAAGACAGACUAGACUCCCUUUUCCUGAUAGUUCUAU
RNAcentral lists this long non-coding RNA (227 nucleotides) under Nicotiana benthamiana. RNAcentral describes it as "long non-coding RNA (NBEN_LNC016567)". The record is from RNAcentral. Lineage: Eukaryota; Viridiplantae; Streptophyta; Magnoliopsida; Solanales; Solanaceae.